Molecule: long non-coding RNA, 404 nt
Organism: Propithecus coquereli (Coquerel's sifaka)
Lineage: Eukaryota; Metazoa; Chordata; Mammalia; Primates; Indriidae
Exons: 4
Source: RefSeq, a predicted model, not a curated record
CUGGCUCCCCUAUGCCUUCUGCCAUGAGUGGAAGCCCUCACCAAAAGCUGAUACUGGAGCUACGCUUCUUGCACAGACUGCAGAAAUAUACAGCAACAAGGCACUGUCUUGGAAGCAAGAAAGCAGCCGUCAACAGACACUGGACAUAGCACUGCCUUGACUGGACUUCCCAGACUCCAGAACUGCCAUUAGCCAGAUAUUGUCACACAAUCUCAACCUAACUGCAAGGGAUGCUGAGGAAAGCAGGGGAGCAGUGGAAUAUUUGAGUUAAAAGAACUCUACUUGCCAGACACUGCAUUAUACAUAAGUAGGAAGAAAGAUGAGCUAAAGAUUUUGGGAACUAGAAAAUCCAAUUAUUGUUUGGAUUGUAAAUACUACCUGUGUGGCCUUGGAUAAAUGUGAAA